GACGAACGCUGGCGGCGUGCUUAACACAUGCAAGUCGAACGGAAAGGCCCUGCUGUUGUGGGGCGAUCGAGUGGCGAGCGGGUGAGAAACACGUGAGUAACCCGUGCUUGACUGUGGGAUAACGGCAAGAAACUGGAGAAAAGACCGGAAAGGAGUGCCGCCUGCAGGGUGUGGGAUGGAAAGUGUCGGCGGUUGGGGAGGGACGCGCGGCUUAUCUGCUUGUUGGGGGGGUGGUGGCCUACGACGGCUUUGGCGGGUGGCCGGCCUGGGAGGGGGACCGGCCACAUUGGGACUGAGAUACGGCCCGGACUCCUCCGGGGGGCGGCGGUGGGGAAAAUUGCCCAAUGGGGGGAAACCUGUGGCAGAAACGCCGCGUGCGGAAGAAGGGCCUUCGGGUAUUAAACCGUUUUCGCCUGUGAGGAGGUGUGAGUGACGGUACCGGGAGAAGAAGCACCGGCUAACUACGUG
Molecule: ribosomal RNA, 468 nt
Filed under: uncultured bacterium
Lineage: Bacteria
Description: partial 16S ribosomal RNA
Rfam family: Bacterial small subunit ribosomal RNA
Source: RNAcentral